CCAUCUAUGUUUGCAACAUGGUGAUGGUUGACAAGAGGAUUCCCAAGAGGAACAGACAAAUUUGAAUUCACAUGAGGAGGACCAGACACAUUUCCCUCAGAAUGAGGUAUUUCACAGGAGGAUUCCCAAGAGGAACAGACACAUUUGAAUGCACAUGAGGAGGACCAGACACAUUUCCCUCAGAAGGAGGUAAUUCAACACUAGUGGAGAUAUGAGCAGCAGCAGGUUUCCUUCCCUUGUUAUAUUUGAUACUUUGAGGAUACCCAUGUAUCUUAUAGCACUUAUCAAUUAAGUACCCAGAUUUCUUGCAGUAUCUGCAAAACAGGGGUUCUCUAUUUGACUCAAAAUUAACUCUGGGUCUGAAAACAGAAGAAUUAGGCGCUGAGGCCUGAUUAAACCCAACUGGAUGCUUGUUUGUGCUAGCAUUAAAAGACAUGGAGUCUGGACUGAAUUGAGAAACAGAUUGAACUUGUCUCUGUUUCUCAUCAUUAAGCACUAUGUUGUAAACACUGUCAA
RNAcentral lists this long non-coding RNA (516 nucleotides) under Nicotiana benthamiana. RNAcentral's name for it is "long non-coding RNA (NBEN_LNC023997)". Lineage: Eukaryota; Viridiplantae; Streptophyta; Magnoliopsida; Solanales; Solanaceae. The record is from RNAcentral.